RNAcentral lists this ribosomal RNA (484 nucleotides) under uncultured bacterium. RNAcentral describes it as "partial 16S ribosomal RNA". It matches the Rfam family "Bacterial small subunit ribosomal RNA", at positions 30 to 507 of the family's 1533-position model. The record is from RNAcentral.
AUUGAACGCUGGCGGCAGGCCUAACACAUGCAAGUCGAGCGGAUGAAGGGAGCUUGCUCCUGGAUUCAGCGGCGGACGGGUGAGUAAUGCCUAGGAAUCUGCCUGGUAGUGGGGGAUAACGUCCGGAAACGGGCGCUAAUACCGCAUACGUCCUGAGGGAGAAAGUGGGGGAUCUUCGGACCUCACGCUAUCAGAUGAGCCUAGGUCGGAUUAGCUAGUUGGUGGGGGAAAGGCCUACCAAGGCGACGAUCCGUAACUGGUCUGAGAGGAUGAUCAGUCACACUGGAACUUAGACACGGUCCAGACUCCUACGGGAGGCAGCAGUGGGGAAUAUUGGACCAUGGGCGAAAGCCUGAUCCAGGCAUGGCGCGUGUGUGAAGAAGGGCUUCGGAUUGGAAAGCACUUUAAGUUGGGAGGAAGGGCAGUAAGUUAAUACCUUGCUGUUUUGACGUUACCAACAGAAUAAGCACCGGCUAACUUCGUG